RNAcentral lists this transfer RNA (74 nucleotides) under Acidobacteriaceae bacterium. Its description in RNAcentral is "tRNA-Cys". It matches the Rfam family "tRNA". From Rfam's summary of the family: Transfer RNA (tRNA) molecules are approximately 80 nucleotides in length. Their secondary structure includes four short double-helical elements and three loops (D, anti-codon, and T loops). Further hydrogen bonds mediate the characteristic L-shaped molecular structure. tRNAs have two regions of fundamental functional importance: the anti-codon, which is responsible for specific mRNA codon recognition, and the 3' end, to which the tRNAs corresponding amino acid is attached (by aminoacyl-tRNA synthetases). tRNAs cope with the degeneracy of the genetic code in two manners: having more than one tRNA (with a specific anti-codon) for a particular amino acid; and 'wobble' base-pairing, i.e. permitting non-standard base-pairing at the 3rd anti-codon position. Lineage: Bacteria; Pseudomonadati; Acidobacteriota; Terriglobia; Terriglobales; Acidobacteriaceae. The record is from RNAcentral.
GGUCCAGAGUCCGACCGGUUAGGUGGCGGUCUGCAAAACCGCCUAAGUGGGUUCGACUCCCACCUGGACCUCCA